Molecule: ribosomal RNA, 498 nt
Filed under: uncultured bacterium
Lineage: Bacteria
Description: partial 16S ribosomal RNA
Rfam family: Bacterial small subunit ribosomal RNA
Source: RNAcentral
UGGGGAAUAUUGCACAAUGGGCGCAAGCCUGAUGCAGCAACGCCGCGUGAGGGAUGACGGCCUUCGGGUUGUAAACCUCUUUUAGUAGGGAAGAAGCGAAAGUGACGGUACCUGCAGAAAAAGCACCGGCUAACUACGUGCCAGCAGCCGCGGUAAUACGUAGGGUGCGAGCGUUGUCCGGAAUUAUUGGGCGUAAAGAGCUCGUAGGCGGUCUGUCGCGUCUGCUGUGAAAACCCGAGGCUCAACCUCGGGCCUGCAGUGGGUACGGGCAGACUAGAGUGCGGUAGGGGAGAAUGGAAUUCCUGGUGUAGCGGUGGAAUGCGCAGAUAUCAGGAGGAACACCGAUGGCGAAGGCAGUUCUCUGGGCCCGUAACUGACGCUGAGGAGCGAAAGCGUGGGGAGCGAACAGGAUUAGAUACCCUGGUAGUCCACGCCGUAAACGUUGGGCGCUAGAUGUGGGGCACCAUUCCACGGUUUCCGUGUCGCAGCUAACGCAUU